Molecule: ribosomal RNA, 271 nt
Filed under: uncultured prokaryote
Description: partial 16S ribosomal RNA
Rfam family: Bacterial small subunit ribosomal RNA
Source: RNAcentral
UACGUAGGGUGCGAGCGUUAAUCGGAAUUACUGGGCGUAAAGCGUGCGCAGGCGGUUUGCUAAGACAGGUGUGAAAUCCCCGGGCUUAACCUGGGAACUGCGCUUAUGACUGGCAGGCUAGAGUACGGUAGAGGGGGGUGGAAUUCCUGGUGUAGCAGUGAAAUGCGUAGAUAUCAGGAGGAACACCGAUGGCGAAGGCAGCCCCCUGGGCCUGUACUGACGCUCAUGCACGAAAGCGUGGGGAGCAAACAGGAUUAGAUACCCCGGUAGU